GACAAGCACGACCACAUGCUUCCCAGUUCAUUUUGUUCCUAAGUGGAUACUGAACUCCUGGAUUUCUCCUGCAUCAUGCUGAAAAAUUUUAACAGUUUUCAAAGUCUGCACAGAGGACAACUUACCUUUGGAUGUUAUGACCCUUAGCACAUCUUAAGUAUAGAUAUCAAGACGGAAGAUGGUACUCCUGAGAAUCUGAAAUGGCUGUGUUUCACCAAUGCUGCAGCCUGGCAACGCGCACCAUUCAAACUCCACAGCAUCUUUCAGCAUGAGAUGGAGAUUUUUAGACCUACGGGAACAACUACCUGCAGAGAGACUCCGCGGAUAGGUCACAGUUUCCGAUGGUCCAAGUGCAGUCCUGUGGUGAUAUC
This is a long non-coding RNA of Dromaius novaehollandiae (emu), 371 nucleotides long. RefSeq lists it as uncharacterized. The record is from RefSeq and is a predicted model, not a curated record. Lineage: Eukaryota; Metazoa; Chordata; Aves; Casuariiformes; Dromaiidae. The transcript has 2 exons.